Molecule: non-coding RNA, 204 nt
Filed under: Ruegeria sp. ANG-R
Lineage: Bacteria; Pseudomonadati; Pseudomonadota; Alphaproteobacteria; Rhodobacterales; Roseobacteraceae
Also listed under: 1 other name
Source: RNAcentral
CCGCAUGUCCCACCCGUUGGUGUCUGCAGCAGCAGAUGAAAAGGGAAUGCGUCAACGGGUUUUCCGCCAAACGCAGCCGCCCCCGCGACCGUGACCGGAGAGGGUGCCCAAUGCCACUGGCGAAUGCCGGGAAGGCGGGACAUCCGACAGAGGUUUCCUCUGACAUCCGCAAGCCGGGAGACCUGCCAACGCCCGAAGAUGAAA